UGUAAAUCUGAUAUCGUCGCCAUAGCUUCGAUUGUCGACACACAAAGAAUUCAAGCCCGAGGUCAGCGCCUUGGGCUUU
This is a non-coding RNA of Klebsiella pneumoniae ISC21, 79 nucleotides long. The record is from Rfam. Lineage: Bacteria; Pseudomonadati; Pseudomonadota; Gammaproteobacteria; Enterobacterales; Enterobacteriaceae.